UUAUAAAGAAGUAUCUAAGUACAUAGGGUUUUGAUCCCUAAAGAGAAAGUUAAAGCUUUUCUUUGUAAU
Molecule: transfer RNA, 69 nt
Filed under: Mytilus trossulus (common blue mussel)
Lineage: Eukaryota; Metazoa; Mollusca; Bivalvia; Mytilida; Mytilidae
Description: tRNA-Gln
Rfam family: tRNA
About the family: Transfer RNA (tRNA) molecules are approximately 80 nucleotides in length. Their secondary structure includes four short double-helical elements and three loops (D, anti-codon, and T loops).
Source: RNAcentral